Molecule: long non-coding RNA, 1523 nt
Organism: Alexandromys fortis (reed vole)
Lineage: Eukaryota; Metazoa; Chordata; Mammalia; Rodentia; Cricetidae
Exons: 3
Source: RefSeq, a predicted model, not a curated record
CAGAGAAGUCAUUGAAUUCACCAUCAAGAGUUGCCCCAAAUAAACUUUCCACACUGCCAGUUAAGUCAGUGCUAAGGAAUAAGCAGGUUUCCCAAAGCAACAAUGAGACUAUAAAAGCCUAAGACCUAAUGGAAAGCAAUCUUUAAAAAACCAAAUUGUUCUGUUUUUGACCCAGGGUUUCUCUGUGCAGCCCUGGCUGUCCUGGAACUCACUCUGUAGACCAGGCUGGUCUCGAACUCAGACCCACUGGUCUCUGCCUCCUGAGUGCUAUACCACUGGGCAGUGGUGGCGCACGCCUUUAAACCCAGCACUUAGGAGGCAGAAGCAGGCGAGUCUCUAAGUUCGAGGCCAGCCAGGUCUACAAGAGUUAGUUUCCAGGACAGGCUCCAAAGCUACAGAGAAACCCUGUCUUGAUAAAACAAAACAAAGAGAUACUCCUGCAGGUUCCACAAACCCUAAACCAUGUAGCCAUUAAUGGGUCUUCCACCACAGUGUGGCCUUAUUGGGAUCUUUAUAAUUGCCCCAAUCAAGCCCUACUUGAGUUUCAAAUGAUACUAUUUGGCAAGCACUAAUUUGGGCCUAAAUAGACUGCUAGAUUUAAGUACCUAAUGUUUAAUAUUUAUGGAAAUGGAAAAAGAAAUCAUAGGAAAAGUAUAACUACUAAGAUUCAAUGAGACGACACAGAGCUACAGAGCACCUCUAAUUAAUUAUAUUAUAGAUGUCAAAGCAGAAUAACUUCCAGAUCUACUUACACACCCAGAACCAAACAGUUGAGGCCUAAGAAGAGGGUAAUGCCAGGCCUGCUACACGAAGUAGCCUUACGCUGCUGAGACCAAGAAUGACACAGACACAACUGUGCUCCAGAGACACAGGCAGCACAGGGCCUGACCACAGAGACAGCAGAUUUGCAAGAGGUCAGAGGUCAAGACAAAGGUGCAUUGGGAAUCCCCGGCUAGAGGACACACGUAUCAGCUGCUAUUUAACCCUACAUUUGCUGGAGUGGAUUCCUGGCUUGGCCUUUACAUUUAUUUAGUGAGUGUGUGUGUACAAGGGCAGGGAAGUCACGGAACAACUUGCAGGUGAUGGAGGUGGGUCUUGUAUCUUAUCUGUUGAUUUCAUUGGUUAAUAAUAAAGAAACUGCCUCGGCCCUCAUAGGACAGAAAAUUAGGUAGGCGGAGUAGACAGAGGAGAAUGCUGGGAAAAAGAAGCUGAGUGAGUGAGUCGCCAUGAUGCUCCCACUCCAGUCAGACGCAGGUUAAGAUCCUCCCUGGCGCCCCCAUCUCCAGUGCGGACCAGCACUUGUCUCUCAAGUCUCGGGUUAGAAGCAUGGUGCUCUUGGUGCUGCUGUUUUGAGACAGCGUCUCACUGUAUUGCGCUUGCUAGCCUGGAACACCAUAGUGAGCCUUCGUCACGAGAAACUGUUCUCAGAAUCCCACGACAAUCGCGCCUUCCUCUAACUUAUGUUCCACCCAGGCUGCACUGCGCCUGAGACUUUACCUGACUGGGACACUCUGGAGUCUUCC